This is a non-coding RNA of Anolis sagrei ordinatus, 282 nucleotides long. Lineage: Eukaryota; Metazoa; Chordata; Lepidosauria; Squamata; Anolidae. The record is from RefSeq and is a predicted model, not a curated record.
GGGACAAAGCCCAGCGGACUUGGCAGCAGAUAGUAAAACACGGUGGUCUUAACCAUCCUUUCAUCCAGUUCUCAUUGCAGUGUCCACUUGUCUGCAUUGACCCAGAAUGACCACAGAGGCAAAAUCCUUGGAGGCCGAGGACGAAGGAGGGUUUCCCAUUGGGAGAGACAUUGCCCCACGCCCGUCAUGGGGACGCCGCACCUGCUCUGGGCGCCGCCUGACCCUCAUCCUUUUGGGGGUCCUUUGCAGCCUCCUCCUCGCCAUGGUGGUCUUUGGCUUCAG